GUUUUUGUUUGUUCAUCAGAAUAUCAUGCAGCUCUUUGCGUUUGUGUGUGAGACAUAGAAAUACUCAUCAGUUCUGAAGCAGAUCAUCGUCAGCACAAAACUUUGGAUUCAUUUGGCUAAAGUCCCAGGUGCUGGGGAAUGACCUGCUCAUCGGUCACGGGGUGAAAUGUGGAGGCGCCUGGAAGACGAUGAUGUUGAAGCAUCGCUCCAGACUUCAAGCUGCUCUGGCAAGAAUCAAAGUCAAGAGAAAUGUCACUCGAAAUCAAAUCCUGCUGCACUCCAGUUUCCAGACAGGAUGAUGCAAUUCCACUCUGUGUGGGUGUAUACUCUGAAAACAACUCUUGAUGAUGUCAUCGACAACGAUCAUCAAUGACAUCAUUCCCAAAAUAUUUUUUUAUCAAGGAAUAGCAAGUUGGUAAGAUGUCCUCUGCAUGUCACAAGACAUUUUGAGUAACUUCUUCAGUGAAUAGCUUUAGAAUGACAUGAAGGAAAGGAGAUGAUGACUGAAUGUUGCCUGAACUAUUUCUUUAACAGUGCACUAAAAGUGAUUUAUUUUUUAUUUUUAACAAUUUCCCAUUUCUUCGUCUCUGACUUCCGAAUCUCCAUUUUCUGUCUGGGAGGGCAUUUAUUUCUGUGUGAUCUUCAACUCCAAGAUCUUCUGGUUUUCAGUGCAAUAACAGACUUUCACAAUCACUUCCUUUAUAAAGCAGGACACAUUAUAUUGCAGGAAAUUAUAGAACAUUAUACUAGACCUACCUACAGUUUGCAAAACAUGACAUGAGUCGAACCUCAUUUUAUCUUGCUCCAUUGAUCUUGAUGCCAAACGUCUGUCCACUAUGAGCACUCUUCUCCUUGGCCGGGGGUCACAUGUCAUCAGCUGGCCAAUCAGGAUUUUCUGAAAGUAGAUCCACAGAGCUCAGAGUCCAAGGAAGUCCAGCAUAUUCUUCCGGACCCCUCCUGCAGUGGAUCAGGCAGUUGUUGUGUAUAAAGGAAUCAUUGUCUGUCUCAGGGGUGGUUUGUCUGGGGGAUGAGGUCUCAGAGCCGCAGGAUGACGGGCGUCUGCAGGUACUGGCUACAUUUCAACUGCACUGUCUCAACCACGCACUGCAGUUCCCUCAGGUACAGGACUAGUCCAUUUUCUUCCAAACUGGCCUGAGAGGCGUCAUGAGCCUUUCAUCCAGUGCCUUCAUGCCAGCACAGCAAAAACACGCACUCAUGGGUUCUUUGUGGCCAUGCUGGAGAGAUGAAUGAAUACACUAUUGUUCAAACAAUUGGGCAGAACGUUGCCGUCUAGCGGUGAGGAAAAGCAGGACAUGCAUCAAUCUGGUCCCAUCUGAUGAGGCACAAGAAAACACAGAGACUGCAAUCGAUCAACAGACAAAUCCAAGCUCAAAGAAAAGGAAGAGAAACAGAAACAAGCACAAAAAGCUUCUCCGCUAACCCACCUCUUUAUUGAACUGUGAUGAAUGAUAUGUUUUAACCAGAAGUCAAAUUCAUUAUUUAGAAAUGUGCGAGUUGUCUGUCAUGCACUGAAUGCUAGAUGAGCAGAAUUAAGAUCCACAGCAAGUCAACUUUACAUUUUUAUUGGAAACCAGCAUGUCAUUAUCAGAGCAUUAAGCAGACAACACAAUCGGUGCCGCUUCAUUCAGAACUCCAUUCAUGCUUUAUGAGGGUUAGUGGGAAUGGUUUACACACAAACUGAGCAUUCACUAACAGCAACAUCUGAAAAACAUACAACUAGGUACAACUGUUCUCAAACAUUCACAGCUUGAGAAAUUCAGCUCUCAUCUCAACAUACAUCUCAUCUUCUCAACAGUCUUCACAACUCGCUUGUAUUUGGUAUGGCUUUCUAAUAAACAGAAAGCCUGGGCUCAUGCCUCCUUGCAUCAGUCUGGGCAUGAGUAUACUUUGAAAAUGUCAUUAAUUACAAACCAAAUUAUCUCAUUAAGACUGAAGUGAGAAAUGCCAUGCAAGGGUGGACAGAGAUGGCUACAUCAUUGUAAAAACAUUUGCUGUCCCAAAUUCAGAUUUUUCAGGUCAAAGAAUAUGAAGGGAGUACAAAAAAAAACUAAAA
Long non-coding RNA from Carassius gibelio (silver crucian carp), 2074 nucleotides. RefSeq lists it as uncharacterized. The transcript has 4 exons. NCBI's taxonomy places the organism in Eukaryota, Metazoa, Chordata, Actinopteri, Cypriniformes, Cyprinidae. The record is from RefSeq and is a predicted model, not a curated record.